CUGCUGCCAUUCAAGGUCCACCCCACUUUCUGCCUUCUCGCGUGACUCCAGCUCCGUGCAAAGGCGCAGUUAACCGACUGCAGUUAUUGCACCUGGAAUGAAGAAGCAUUUAUGUCUGAGUUCUGGAUGUAGAGUAUCCUUCUCCUUUCUAAAGUCACUUUAACCACCAUGUGCUGCACCACUCCUCCCCAAGAUGUCCCUGUCCUUUUGUCAUCCUUGUCCCCUGGAGGCAGAUGGACAAUCUUCUGAUAGUAAAGUUCAUCAAUAAGCAAUAAACAGGCGAUCAGACUUUUCCAUUAAAUGGAGAGAGUCAAAGAGGAAAGAGCAGUAUGAGACAGGCGGACGACACGACAGUCAUUUAUUAAAGAUGAAGAGAAAAUCCCCCGUUUCUCUCCUGGAUUCCUAUUCCUGGAUAAUGGUUCAAUUCUUCCUCAUGUAUAAAUAAAUUUUGGCAACUAUUUUCUCCCCUACAAAACCACUGAAAUGAAAUGCGCAACAGGCAUGAUUAGCAUAAACCCAAAGCACUGCAGGAGGCUGCAGUGAAAAGUUAGCUGUGUAAAUGCCAUUUGGGACCGUUUCAUAGGCACUAUGAUAUAUUUUUAUGAGCAGCUGGUGUUUAUAAACACCAAUCAGAAGUUGUAAAUGUGGGCAGGGAUCUGUCAAGAACAGCAUUUAUAAAUGACACUUAUUCUAUGUUAAAGAGUCUGUCUGCAGGGAUAAUGUGACAUUUGUGUGCUUAAACUGUCACACUGCACUGUGAACCUUCAUAGGAAUACAAUAGAUUGGUACAAACAUUUCAUAAAACAUACAUUUCCA
This is a long non-coding RNA of Poecilia latipinna (sailfin molly), 816 nucleotides long. RefSeq lists it as uncharacterized. NCBI's taxonomy places the organism in Eukaryota, Metazoa, Chordata, Actinopteri, Cyprinodontiformes, Poeciliidae. The record is from RefSeq and is a predicted model, not a curated record. The transcript has 3 exons.